This 617-nucleotide ribosomal RNA is filed under the name uncultured bacterium. RNAcentral's name for it is "bacterial SSU rRNA". It matches the Rfam family "Bacterial small subunit ribosomal RNA", at positions 338 to 951 of the family's 1533-position model. The record is from RNAcentral.
CCUACGGGAGGCAGCAGUGGGGAAUUUUGGACAAUGGGCGCAAGCCUGAUCCAGCAAUGCCGCGUGAGUGAAGAAGGCCUUCGGGUUGUAAAGCUCUUUUGUCAGGGAAGAAACGGUGGAGGUUAAUACCUUCUGCUAAUGACGGUACCUGAAGAAUAAGCACCGGCUAACUACGUGCCAGCAGCCGCGGUAAUACGUAGGGUGCAAGCGUUAAUCGGAAUUACUGGGCGUAAAGCGUGCGCAGGCGGUUGUGCAAGACAGAUGUGAAAUCCCCGGGCUCAACCUGGGAAUUGCAUUUGUGACUGUACGGCUAGAGUGUGUCAGAGGGGGGUAGAAUUCCACGUGUAGCAGUGAAAUGCGUAGAGAUGUGGAGGAAUACCGAUGGCGAAGGCAGCCCCCUGGGAUAACACUGACGCUCAUGCACGAAAGCGUGGGGAGCAAACAGGAUUAGAUACCCUGGUAGUCCACGCCCUAAACGAUGUCUACUAGUUGUCGGGUCUUUAUUGACUUGGUAACGCAGCUAACGCGUGAAGUAGACCGCCUGGGGAGUACGGUCGCAAGNUUAAAACUCAAAGGAUUGACGGCUGAGAGNGCGACGACGACGACGAGGGAGGAGG